CCGGUGCGGGCGAGCCUAACACAUGCAAGUCGAGCGGUAGCACAGAGAGCUUGCUCUCGGGUGACGAGCGGCGGACGGGUGAGUAAUGUCUGGGAAACUGCCUGAUGGAGGGGGAUAACUACUGGAAACGGUAGCUAAUACCGCAUAACGUCGCAAGACCAAAGUGGGGGACCUUCGGGCCUCAUGCCAUCAGAUGUGCCCAGAUGGGAUUAGCUAGUAGGUGGGGUAACGGCUCACCUAGGCGACGAUCCCUAGCUGGUCUGAGAGGAUGACCAGCCACACUGGAACUGAGACACGGUCCAGACUCCUACGGGAGGCAGCAGUGGGGAAUAUUGCACAAUGGGCGCAAGCCUGAUGCAGCCAUGCCGCGUGUGUGAAGAAGGCCUUCGGGUUGUAAAGCACUUUCAGCGGGGAGGAAGGCGAUAAGGUUAAUAACCUUGUCGAUUGACGUUACCCGCAGAAGAAGCACCGGCUAACUCCGUGCCAGCAGCCGCGGUAAUACGGAGGGUGCAAGCGUUAAUCGGAAUUACUGGGCGUAAAGCGCACGCAGGCGGUCUGUCAAGUCGGAUGUGAAAUCCCCGGGCUCAACCUGGGAACUGCAUUCGAAACUGGCAGGCUAGAGUCUUGUAGAGGGGGGUAGAAUUCCAGGUGUAGCGGUGAAAUGCGUAGAGAUCUGGAGGAAUACCGGUGGCGAAGGCGGCCCCCUGGACAAAGACUGACGCUCAGGUGCGAAAGCGUGGGGAGCAAACAGGAUUAGAUACCCUGGUAGUCCACGCCGUAAACGAUGUCGAUUUGGAGGUUGUGCCCUUGAGGCGUGGCUUCCGGAGCUAACGCGUUAAAUCGACCGCCUGGGGAGUACGGCCGCAAGGUUAAAACUCAAAUGAAUUGACGGGGGCCCGCACAAGCGGUGGAGCAUGUGGUUUAAUUCGAUGCAACGCGAAGAACCUUACCUGGUCUUGACAUCCACAGAACUUUCCAGAGAUGGAUUGGUGCCUUCGGGAACUGUGAGACAGGUGCUGCAUGGCUGUCGUCAGCUCGUGUUGUGAAAUGUUGGGUUAAGUCCCGCAACGAGCGCAACCCUUAUCCUUUGUUGCCAGCGGUUCGGCCGGGAACUCAAAGGAGACUGCCAGUGAUAAACUGGAGGAAGGUGGGGAUGACGUCAAGUCAUCAUGGCCCUUACGACCAGGGCUACACACGUGCUACAAUGGCAUAUACAAAGAGAAGCGACCUCGCGAGAGCAAGCGGACCUCAUAAAGUAUGUCGUAGUCCGGAUUGGAGUCUGCAACUCGACUCCAUGAAGUCGGAAUCGCUAGUAAUCGUAGAUCAGAAUGCUACGGUGAAUACGUUCCCGGGCCUUGUACACACCGCCCGUCACACCAUGGGAGUGGGUUGCAAAAGAAGUAGGUAGCUUAACCUUCGGGAGGGCGCUACCACUUUGAUAGUGUU
RNAcentral lists this ribosomal RNA (1446 nucleotides) under Klebsiella pneumoniae. Its description in RNAcentral is "bacterial SSU rRNA". It matches the Rfam family "Bacterial small subunit ribosomal RNA". The record is from RNAcentral. Lineage: Bacteria; Pseudomonadati; Pseudomonadota; Gammaproteobacteria; Enterobacterales; Enterobacteriaceae.